RNAcentral lists this ribosomal RNA (301 nucleotides) under uncultured bacterium. RNAcentral's name for it is "partial 16S ribosomal RNA". It matches the Rfam family "Bacterial small subunit ribosomal RNA", at positions 509 to 809 of the family's 1533-position model. The record is from RNAcentral.
CAGUAGCCGCGGGAAUACGUAGGUGGCGAGCGUUGUCCGGAAUUAUUGGGCGUAAAGGGAGCGCAGGCGGACAUAUAAGUCCAUCUUAAAAGUGCGGGGCUCAACCCCGUGAGGGGAUGGAAACUGUAUGCCUUGAGUGCAGGAGAGGAAAGCGGAAUUCCCAGUGUAGCGGUGAAAUGCGUAGAUAUUGGGAGGAACACCAGUGGCGAAGGCGGCUUUCUGGACUGCAACUGACGCUGAGGCUCGAAAGCCAGGGGAGCGAACGGGAUUAGAUACCCCUGUAGUCCCUGUCUCUUAUACA